GGCGCGGGGUGGAGCAGCCUGGUAGCUCGUCGGGCUCAUAACCCGAAGGUCGUCGGUUCAAAUCCGGCCCCCGCAAC
RNAcentral lists this transfer RNA (77 nucleotides) under Escherichia coli. RNAcentral's name for it is "tRNA-Met". It matches the Rfam family "tRNA". Rfam says of the family: Transfer RNA (tRNA) molecules are approximately 80 nucleotides in length. Lineage: Bacteria; Pseudomonadati; Pseudomonadota; Gammaproteobacteria; Enterobacterales; Enterobacteriaceae. The record is from RNAcentral.